CGGGUGAGUAAUGCUUGGGAACUUGCCUUUGCGAGGGGGAUAACAGUUGGAAACGACUGCUAAUACCGCAUAAUGUCUUCGGACCAAACGGGGCUUCGGCUCCGGCGCAAAGAGAGGCCCAAGUGAGAUUAGCUAGUUGGUAAGGUAACGGCUUACCAAGGCGACGAUCUCUAGCUGUUCUGAGAGGAAGAUCAGCCACACUGGGACUGAGACACGGCCCAGACUCCUACGGGAGGCAGCAGUGGGGAAUAUUGCACAAUGGGGGAAACCCUGAUGCAGCCAUGCCGCGUGUGUGAAGAAGGCCUUCGGGUUGUAAAGCACUUUCAGUUGUGAGGAAAAGUUAGUAGUUAAUACCUGCUAGCCGUGACGUUAACAACAGAAGAAGCACCGGCUAACUCCGUGCCAGCAGCCGCGGUAAUACGGAGGGUGCGAGCGUUAAUCGGAAUUACUGGGCGUAAAGCGCACGCAGGCGGUUUGUUAAGCUAGAUGUGAAAGCCCCGGGCUCAACCUGGGAUGGUCAUUUAGAACUGGCAGACUAGAGUCUUGGAGAGGGGAGNGGAAUUCCAGGUGUAGCGGUGAAAUGCGUAGAUAUCUGGAGGAACAUCAGUGGCGAAGGCGACUCCCUGGCCAAAGACUGACGCUCAUGUGCGAAAGUGUGGGUAGCGAACAG
RNAcentral lists this ribosomal RNA (670 nucleotides) under Alteromonas sp. enrichment culture clone DMSP06. RNAcentral describes it as "bacterial SSU rRNA". It matches the Rfam family "Bacterial small subunit ribosomal RNA", at positions 103 to 775 of the family's 1533-position model. Lineage: Bacteria; Pseudomonadati; Pseudomonadota; Gammaproteobacteria; Alteromonadales; Alteromonadaceae. The record is from RNAcentral.